RNAcentral lists this microRNA precursor (90 nucleotides) under Canis lupus familiaris (dog). RNAcentral describes it as "mir-8799 microRNA precursor family". It matches the Rfam family "mir-8799 microRNA precursor family". Lineage: Eukaryota; Metazoa; Chordata; Mammalia; Carnivora; Canidae. The record is from Rfam by way of RNAcentral. RNAcentral also lists the same sequence under 1 other name.
GAGGGGAGGCCGGAUCCUGGGCUGUGUCUCCAGCACCCUCUGCUCCCGGCCUGCGCUGUUGGAUUCGCGCUCCCGGCCCCGCAGCCCCUU